Long non-coding RNA from Paramacrobiotus metropolitanus, 2271 nucleotides. RefSeq lists it as uncharacterized. The record is from RefSeq and is a predicted model, not a curated record. Lineage: Eukaryota; Metazoa; Tardigrada; Eutardigrada; Parachela; Macrobiotidae. The transcript is spliced from 4 exons.
UGUUGGGUAUAUCCAGCAGAGCACCAUUGGCCAGAUGGUUACUUUUUGAAAGAAUACCUCAUAAAAUCGGUUCUCGCUGUGAAAUAAUCGCAUAUAACGUUCAAUGGAGAUGAUCAUCAUGUGAAUGACACUGACGGCGAUACAGUGCUCUUUGGAAGCGUAGUACCACAGGCAUAGCCAAUGCUCCAGUGGCCAACAUUCGUGCAUCAGCCAUAAGGUCACGGCCACUGGCAGGACAUAGAUGCCCACAAGGCAGUCAGCGACGCAGUUGGAUACCAGCAGAAUAUUCGCGGGGGUUCGAAGUUUCUUGUAGGGAAUCACCGAUAAAAUAAAUACGAUGUUUGACAGAAUGGUGAUCAAAGCGACGGCGUAUAUAGCGCAAGCCAGUGCUAGUCGUGAUGACGUGAUGUCCAGCUCGGAUGUGCAGUUACAAGCUUUGGGAACAAUUAUACUGGAGUUCAUUUUGAUGUACAUUUCACAAAGGAGUAGGUGGCUCCCUGCAGAACCCCGACAGAGGUGACGCGGACGCAGACGUCGUUGGUGCAGAAGGGGUCAACGUUGGGAUUUGCGGAAGUGUACCACUCGUGGCUGAUGGCCACGAGGUCUUGCGAGGCAGCAUUGAUCUGCGUACCACAUGCUCCGUAUCCAGCGUCGUUGUAAAAGGUCAACUUCGUGCCGGUAAAGGUCUUUCCCCAAGGAAUAUUGGCUUGAGCUGAUACAAUCUGAAAUUCGAUGGGCUGCGAUUAGCAUACCGGAAAAGGAUCUUCUGUCUCACCGUCUUUGCGACAUAUGUGAGAGAUAUUUCCUUUACGGCGCAUCAAACAACAGUUAAGGUAAUAAACAUUUGUCCAGAUGGUAGUUAGAUAACACUGCAUCAUCAGCUGGAGCUACGUAAAAUUGGUUCAGUACUGAAUAUCCCUCCACACAGUUAUCGUUUUCAUAGAAAUGGAACAGCCAUUCAUAUCAGAAGUAAAUAAUAAUUAUGAGUAAGUGCUCGGUAUAUUAUCCGGUAAUUUCCGUUAAGAUCAGUCACACUAUCAGUGCUCGUAUCAGAGAUCAAAUCGCUUUGAUCAUACUGAUCACGGUUAAAUCUGAUGGUGAGCGUUGGAGGAUGACCCCCGGAUCUGGAAGGUGGACAGCUGUAAAGUACGCACUUCUUACUGUACUUGAAACGUACUUUUGGUCGUUGUGGGUCACAUCAACUGCUGACAAGAAUAAAUACUGAACCAAAUGAAAUUAAAUUAAUAAGCACUUAUUUACAAAAUGUAUGUACAGUGGAACCUCCCGAUCCUGAACACUCUCGGUACGGAGUUUCUUGUUCAAGGUUCGGGGAUGUUCAGGGUUUAGAAGUACUGCUGCCAGGGGCACCGACGCCCCUGGGGGGGCGCAUAAAAUUCCAGUCGUAAUGAUGUAUAUUAUAUUAGCGCGUAUGCUAAUAUGCAAAAGGAUAUCUGCUGUACUUUAAUAUAUUUCACGUCGUAAUUUAUUAAUUAAUUGAUUAUAAUGUUAUUCUGGUGUUAUUUUUGUUGGCCAUGAUGACUAAGGUUUCAGUUUCAUGAACUGAAACUAAGGCUACGGAUUGGUACUACACGAAACAACACGUUAUUCUCCGCUAAUCUGCUUGCGGUGAGAUCCGUGAACACUUUGAACAGUUCCCGGAUGCUUUCACUGUUUCGCACACAAAACGCAGCCGCUCUCUGUUCACGUUUAGAGGUCCGUUUUACUAAGCAAACGUAUCACGGUAAGCAGCCAGGUGUUCAGGGUUCAGAGGUCCCCCUAAUGUUAUAGCUUACGAGAGUUGCGCGUACGAAAAAAAUUGCUCAAGAUUCGGGGUUGUUCAGGGUUCAGAGGUGUUCAAGAUCGGAGGUUCCACUGUAUUGUACAAUACAGUACACGUAUUCUUUGUAAGAGUAAUUAUUAUUCGCUGUUAAUAACCAACAGCUACGUGCACAGAUAUAGUAUUUCUUAAGCAUGUUGAAAAUGUCUUUCGUACAUUUGAUGGUGAGUCUAUGUGUAGAUCUAUAUUGUGCAGACGUCUGUAGCACUGCAUGGAUUAUGUUUGUACUUGUAUGUGUCGCAUCAUCUACUUCCCUAAUUAUAGUACUUCACUAAUUAAUGGUACUGGUGCAUGGUACAGAAGAUGAUAAGUUUAACAUCACCAAUAUUUUAUUUUUUAACACAUAUGAUGACUGAUUGAUCGCUGAGCUGUUUGCAAUAAAUGGUGUGAAUAACGCGAAUAAAAAAAUUGUGGUUUGGAAAACUGGUAAAAAA